Molecule: long non-coding RNA, 950 nt
Filed under: Toxoplasma gondii VEG
Lineage: Eukaryota; Apicomplexa; Conoidasida; Eucoccidiorida; Sarcocystidae
Source: RNAcentral
ACAAAUCGUUGACGUCACCUUCCAAAAAGAAAGGGGCGAAAAAAGGCUUGGUGGCAUGCGCUGGGGUGAAUGGGGCUUUAGAAAUUGCUCCAGAAGCGCGCAUGACACAAGCAACGUUAAUAUGAUUUCUUUGAUGUGGGGAGUCCGCCCCAAUACGACAGAACGCCCGCAGGUUGCAAGUCUGUGAACCCUUGUUUUUGGUGUCCAGUUCCUGCUAUUGGGUAUAUUAUAUAGCGAGCAGACUGUGUGCUCAGUGUGUUUCUACAGCCGACCACGCGGGAAAACGUCUGCUGUCGAAUUGCCAAACGGUUAGUGAAGCAUGGGACCUUUUGCCAGAAAGGAGCAUUGCCGACAUGACGUCUUAAAGGGGGAUGAACGCUCUGUCGGUGACCGAAAACAAGCUGUGAAAACCUAUAUUACGUUUGGCAUUUUAGAGUUGCCGCUUCUGUGUUCCCAAGCAGCUGCCCUUCCUCUGCGGCCAAGCCGGACGAAUCAAGCAGAAGCCGCUGGCGGUCUGUUGCAUAUCAUCAUCCAUGGGGAAAGGCCAGUCACUCCAAUAAAAGUCAAGAAUACGUGCUUUCCUCAAUGUAUUGGAAACGAAAAAUUUUUUGCCGAGUUUUUCCGCGUUUCGACAGAGGAACUCAGGAUUGGGCAACGCGAGUACAGUUGGCCCAUAUAAGUUCAUCCUUGUUUUGGUUUACUUUUCACAUGCUGAAACAUGGACAGGUGCAUAUUGCACUAAUCCUCUGAAACAUUGCGUUGCUCAGGGCGAUUCGUUAACUGUCCAGGUGUAAUGUGUGGCUGCCACCCGAAGUAGUAUGAUGUUACAUGUGUACUCUCUGUUUGCACUUCUGUGAGACCCGCUAGUGUGCCACUCCGAGAAGAACAUGAGGUUCGUGAUUAUUCCUAGUAAUUCCAGGAUCCGCCAUAAUUGUGGAGCUGAUAGGGAG